Molecule: long non-coding RNA, 5198 nt
Filed under: Physcomitrium patens
Lineage: Eukaryota; Viridiplantae; Streptophyta; Bryopsida; Funariales; Funariaceae
Description: long non-coding RNA (PPAT_LNC002546)
Source: RNAcentral
ACAAUGCAAGCAUUGGUGGCAGCGAAGCAUGUGAUUUCUCAGCUGAACUGGAGUGAAAGUGGCUCAACUAACACCCCUCUGCCGUUUUGAGUCUGCUACCUGUAUGUAAGAAACUUGUGCUAAGCUUUAGUAUUUAAUCUGACAGAGGUAGUGUAUUCUUCACGUCUCAAGACGUCAGCCAACGUAUAUGUGGUUUUGUGUGUGGCUGGGCUCUGAACCAAAAGGUACAGAUUUUCAGGUGGGUAGUGGUGGGUUCUAAACUUAUUUAGUAUCGACCGAUAAGAAGCAGGAAUGUUCGUUAUGUUGCCCUUUGGGUUUCUAACGGAGCCCAUUGUUAAUGCCAUCCGGCACCAACCUGCAAUGAUCUCAAAACCUUUUGUGCCGACCUGAACAGUGUUAAAUUGUUCCCUAAUCAUUAAGACUUCAUGAUGGUAGCGGAAAAACUCACUUGUACCCCUAAAUGACUGCAUGCUAUGGAUGGAAGCUUAGUGCGGUUUCCCUUAUUUUGGUUUAUCCCAAUUAACCAUGCUAUUCCAACGUUUUAAUUUUGUAGGUUGGGGCACCGCUGUCUGAUAUAUCCUAGCAUGAGCAUGAACCAAUAAGCCAUGAAAUAAAUAAACUUCUGUUGAGGUUAUUUCAACUCAUGCAAAUCUAUAUUUUGAAGUAUUCCAGUCUUAGAGUAUUGCCACACAUGAUUUUUCUGAAUAGUAAGAUACCUUUAAAUAUAUGCUUUGCUAACUUAAAAGGCUAAGGUACUUUUAAAAAGUAAUGCUAGUCUUUCCUUUUUAUUGUUUUAACAAUUCAGGAAUCAGCUGUUUGGAGACAUUUAAUUAUGAAAUGUUAGAGCCAUGAUUUUAUUUUCCACUCACCUUAAAAAGUGAUAAAGAUUUUGAGUCACAUUUUGGAUAGUCAAGUAAAAGACAUGUCUUCUAAUAAAUAAACAAUAACUAAUAAACAUGAGUUACAAAUACUCAAAUCAUUAAAUACAUGUACAUAAAACAUGAUCUCAUCAUGUAUAUAUGUGUGUGUAUAUAUAUAUAGAUGUAUACUCAUAAAAAUUAGGCAAGGUUGAAUGCCAAAGUUGUAUUAUGCAAAAAUAAAUAAAUAAAUAAAUACAAGAUUUUUUACUUUUUAGAAUGAAAUAAAAAUUUGAAAACUUAUGUAAUCCUAGUUGUACCUAAUAUCCUUAAUCUGCACAAGCCACUAGUAGUAUCAACCAGUAAUUUGAUAUUAUGCUCAUGUUUUUGCAAUGCAAUACAUGGAUGGUAUGACAAGCAUACUUCUUGGAUGUGCUCAUAUGAGCUCUCUCUUUGCAAGCUUCAAAAUUCACCACACAAAAUAACACCAUGUAAUAAAAAAUUGCUCCCCAACACUCAGAAGACUUAAGACAUUGUACCACUUACUACUCAUUUGUGAAAACCUUGACUUGUAAGUCUUCUUCACAAUCCAUGGAAGUUGCAAUAAUCACAGUGAAGAAAUCAUUUGUAGAAAUUAUAGCAGCAACAUUGUAGUCCAACAUGUAGAAAUAAGCAUAUUAUCAUAAUAAUAAUAAUAAUAAUCAUAAUCCUAUGGAAGAAUGGUUGGGUCUGUGUUCACAUGAUGGAGAAAGUUGGUUGUUGCAAUUGGACUCUAAAAGAUAUGGAAACAGUCCAAAUGGUGUUCAUUAAAAUGAAUAUUCUAAGACAUCAACCUUCACCUUUAAAACAUGGAACAUGGAAACCAAAUUAAAGCUAAAAUGGAAAUUCGUGGCUCGUCACUAAGAGCCCAAUUAUGCCACGAUUGCUGCUGACUCAGCGCGGCAUGAAGGGCAAAUCGAAGAGACAACACCCCCCCACUCAUCGAGGGGUCAAAUCCAAGUCCCCUAAACUUAUUGAGCCCUGGGAUGGAACCACCUUGUGAUCCCUUCACCACCCCCUAUUGAGGCCGCAAACCCCCGAAGGGGCCCGGAAACCUCCGCGAAAUUCUUCUGAUGCAAAGUCAAUGACAAGUCAAUGCCAUCAGCUUCCUUCCUUGGGAUUCCCUGGAGCUCCCUCACCAAAGUCAAACCCAGUUUGCCCUGUAUUUGUGUUGUCCAGCUCGCUAGAUUAUAUAUUAUCUGACGAUUUGCAUGGAUGAAUGAUUGCGUUCAUCCAUAUAAUCUCAUUCUUGAACUUAUAGCAAAUACAUUCACUUCAAAGUUUUUUUUACUAAAAAAAAUAAAAAUGAAAUAGGUUCAGAUAUAUAAGACUGAAUUUAAAGAAAAAUACACAAUUAUAAUAGUCUAGUGGAGUUCAUUUAUCAUGGUGGAUCAGUGUUGAGUUCAUGCAUGCAUGUAGCAAACUUUUGCACAAGUAUAACAAAAGUUCAUGCUUUUAACAAUUUUUGCAAUUAACUACACCUAAAAUAAGACAAGGACCUAGUACUUACAACUGCAUCCUUAACAGUGAUGCCUUGAUGCAUCUAUGAAUACAACAUGCAAAAUAGUUUUUGAACAAGUUUCUUAAAGCUUUAGUUAAAACAUCUGUGCACUUUUGAAAACAUCACUUUUGAUAUGCAUAUUAAAUGGUAAAAAUGUUCUCACUUAAAGCUACUACAAUAUAAUGCUGGGUUUAGAAAACACACAAAGAGUCUGAUUUGAAUAAAAAAUUCCCUAGGGUAUGGGUAAGAAAUGUAUGUAUUGAAGGGAAAAUAUAAUAUAAUAUAAUAUAAUAAAUUGUAGAAUAAACACACCUGCAAACCUACCCACCAUCCCCCAUAUUAAAUUCUAGGGUUAUCAACAUUCUUAUGCUCAUUGCAUUGUGAUACUCUAACCAAAUUCUUGGGUUUGGUACCACAUUUGCAAACCCUAAGGUUCAGGACAUGAUUCAAAACUACUUAUUAUACAUGCAUGUUAUUGAUAAUAAUAAUAAUAAUGAUGAUAAAAAGUGGUGAUAAUUGUUUAGAAUGGUGGUGUAAGAGAGGGAAAGAUUGUUGGUCAUGGGUCAAAUUAGACUAGUUAAAAUAUUGUUGGCUUGGCUUCAAAGGAGGAAAUUGUGCAGUGUUGAGAUUAUUUAGGUCCAAUUUCAAUGCAUAACCUUUAAUGUAUAUGCACUUUAAUUAAGUUGUGAUUUAUUAUAUGUAAUAUAUGUUUUAUUUAUUGUGGUGGAUGUUAGAGAGCCCUCAAAUACUAUGCUCUGAAAUUGAACAACUGGUGUUUUAUUUUGUUUGUAAAUUGAAGCACUGAUAAACUAAACCACAUUGAUUAAACACAUUCUGGAGACAUGCAGAAAUCUUAUUUUUGUAUCACAAUCAGAAUUUCAUUUCAGUUUGCUUUAUUUCCCCUUAUUGUAUGAUCUCUCUAGAACUUUACAGUGGAUUAUCAUGUUUUAUGAGUAUUACAUGUGCAAUUUGACAUGUAUAUAUAAUUGCUCUUUCUGGCUAUUUUUAUGUAAUGAAAUGAAAUUUAUCAAUGUAUCAAAAUGGGUCACUGAACAUUAAAGCCAAAGAAUAUUUUAGCUCUGUUCUUCAAAUUGAUUAUUAUAAUGUUAAAACACUUUGUGGACUUUCAAUAUUAUGCUAUUCAAAGAAACAAACAAACAAACAAAUAAAUGGUUACAUUAGUGCGGAUUACUUUUGAAUUGCAUAAAGUACUAGCUAGUAAUUAAUCAAUUAUGAUUUUUUAUUUAAAUGUUUUAGAACAACCAAGCAAUAUGUACAAACUUACAGGUACAUGCACACAUAGCAACGAAAUAUUAUAAAAAUUGAAAGUAAAAUCUUACCAUUAUUAUAUGACGUUUCAGAAACAAUUAUUAAUAUUUCAUUCGUGGGACUUUUAUAUAUUUAAAAAUAAACUGUGAUUAUCAAGUUUGUUAGGAAAUAAUGGAUCUCCAGGUUUAAGAAAAAACAUAUUAUAUUUUAAUAAGAAAUAAAGACAUGGAAUGACUACUAUCAAUCAAUCAACCUCUCUCUAUAUAUGUAACACUUUAAAGUAAAGAAUGCUUUUAUGUAAUUCAUAUGUUUUUUGUUUGCCCUCCAAGAGUAAUUCAACAAUUCAUGAUCUUGGAUUAAACACAUUAUUGUGCUACUUACUGACAAUGAAAGACUAUCAAAACUUCAAUUACUUCUUGUACAUACAUUUUUAUUCUUGCAUAAGCAUUUUAGAAUCUGACAUAUUAUUUACACUCAUGAAUAAUUUUGACUAAUUCUGGAAUUUCAAUGAGCUAUGUUGCAAAAUAGAAUCGAAUUGCAGAGUAAAAUGUAAAGCACUAACCAUUUGAAAACUUUAAUUUGAUUUUUACCCAGUUUGUUUGAUUUAUAUGUUAUUCCUUUGAACUGAGAAAAACAAAAAUUGUGUACUAAAAUCAACAAGUUAUGGCUAUUGUCUGCAUGGAACAUGUUUGAGUUCAUGGAUAUCUAGUAUAUGUCUUCCAAAUGAUGUGAACAUUCUCCCAUGUGACAUGAGUGUGAAUUUCAGUACCACAGGUUGUAAAAGAAUAAACACAUGAUGAACCUAAAAACUCAACCAUGAAAAUCAAAACGUUUAAAAACCUUAAGUUUAUUUAUUUAUUAAUAAAGAAGAAGAAAAGAAGAAAGAAAAAAACAUUUGUAACAGCAGACCAGGUUGACUUGUGACAUUAAUCCAAAUCAUAUAUAUAUAUAUAUAUAUAUAUAAUUUUUAAAGAAAAGAUAAAAGAAAUACACCACCAAUAAAUAUUCCUGAGUUUCAACUCAUAUCAAUCAAACAAAGAGUUCCACCAUCACUGCAAACACACAUCAUUAAGUAAAUCAUCAAACAUAAAUAUUUUAAACCACCAACACCACAACGGCACAUUCACAUUUAUACAAGUUUAUUGGUGCACAAACCAAACAUAUAAAGACAUAAAAAAGCCUUCUCAUUAGCCAAACAUGGAUGAACAAGAAAAAUGGAUGAAUGUUGCUGUGCACAACCACAUGAAUUUUUGUUAGUAAAAAAAAAAAAAAAACAAAAAAACAAAACAAGGAGGAAUGUUAAAUACACCCAUGCUUUUACUAAAUUUACCCGUUCAUCCUAACCAUCAAAAAAAAAAAAAAAAAAAAAAAAAAACCUCUAGUGUCAUUUCUCCACAAGUGGAUGCAAAACCAAUAAAAACCAACCACAUUCGUCAUAAUUACCAUACUCUUCAUCAUGGAUAGGUUGAUUUAAUAAAAACUUGGGUCUAUUUAACAUUCCACCCAAAAAAACAACCCCACCAGCAAACACA